GACGAACGCUGGCGGCGUGCUUAACACAUGCAAGUCGAACGGAAAGGCCCUGCUCUUGUGGGGUGCUCGAGUGGCGAACGGGUGAGUAACGCGUGAGUAACCUGCCCUUGACUUUGGGAUAACUUCAGGAAACUGGGGCUAAUACCGGAUAGGAGCUCCUGCUGCAUGGUGGGGGUUGGAAAGUUUCGGCGGUUGGGGAUGGACUCGCGGCUUAUCAGCUUGUUGGUGGGGUAGUGGCUUACCAAGGCUUUGACGGGUAGCCGGCCUGAGAGGGUGACCGGCCACAUUGGGACUGAGAUACGGCCCAGACUCCUACGGGAGGCAGCAGUGGGGAAUAUUGCACAAUGGGCGGAAGCCUGAUGCAGCAACGCCGCGUGCGGGAUGACGGCCUUCGGGUUGUAAACCGCUUUCGCCUGUGACGAAGCGUGAGUGACGGUAAUGGGUAAAGAAGCACCGGCUAACUACGUG
RNAcentral lists this ribosomal RNA (468 nucleotides) under uncultured bacterium. Its description in RNAcentral is "partial 16S ribosomal RNA". It matches the Rfam family "Bacterial small subunit ribosomal RNA", at positions 28 to 507 of the family's 1533-position model. The record is from RNAcentral.